AUUUGAGAUUACUUUGACUGGAUUUAUUGCUUAUUGAUUAGUCCAUUCUUCAAAUUUUUAGAGUAUCCUAAAAUGACCACCCAGUGGGAUCCUUAGAAUAUGCACUUGACGAAAAAGGCAAGCUGCAUGUAUUUGUCUAGGACCUGGCGUUUCAUGGGUACCAAUGAAUAGAAUAACCAAAAUGCGUUGGCAUUUAUUCGACGAAAACAUGACGGGCACUUCUAUCCUCUAGACAGCGCCUUAUUUCGCAAUUUUCUUUCUCCAGCAUCGUGCAAAUUGGAUAAAGUUUCGCAAAAUGGAUGCAAUUAGGCCCUGCAAACUGGUUAUUUUCCUAACAAUAACAGUAAUUUAUAUUU
This is a long non-coding RNA of Dendroctonus ponderosae (mountain pine beetle), 356 nucleotides long. RefSeq lists it as uncharacterized. The record is from RefSeq and is a predicted model, not a curated record. NCBI's taxonomy places the organism in Eukaryota, Metazoa, Arthropoda, Insecta, Coleoptera, Curculionidae. The transcript is spliced from 2 exons.